RNAcentral lists this long non-coding RNA (2587 nucleotides) under Mus musculus (house mouse). RNAcentral's name for it is "long non-coding RNA chr6:46072408-46074995". The record is from RNAcentral. Lineage: Eukaryota; Metazoa; Chordata; Mammalia; Rodentia; Muridae.
AUGAACAGGGACUGUGGACAGUUACUCAACCAUCCCUAUUAUACUGCCCCAUCAUUUGUACAAAUGGAGACAAUACUUGUGUUGAGAAGCUAAGUAAUCAGAUUUGAAAAAGGAAACAGCUGUUGCUUAUCAUCAAACACAUUUUAAAUAGAACAUGGUUGUCCUCUUCCCUAAAAAUGUGAUUUAAAAAAAUGACUUCAUGUAUUUUGGGAAAACCUUCAUUAUCCCCUCAAAUUCAGCAUUCCAAUGGGUAAUAAGUUGAACUUUGAUAAUAAAUCUGGACUAUUAUGUGCAUGUUAUGCUAAAGGAUAUCAUGGAGAUGAUAAAGGAUUGUUGACAAAGAGAAUAGAUGCAGCUGAGACUGGCAAGCAUUUCUAAAGGGACCACUCCACUCAUGAAGCCACCCUCUGAAACUGGUAAAUCCUUCUGGAGCAGAAGUAGAAAUGAUAUAAACAGGAUGGUUGCAUUUCAUCAGAGUGGGUACCAUCUUGGCAUGUGCUGAAUAAAGAGAAAAUUCUGAGUCCUGGGAGAGCCUUGUUGUAUUAGGUCAGUCAUGAGGACAGAUUCACAGGAAGAACAGGAUUUCUAAGACUCCACAGAGCACAGAAUAUGGGAAACUGGAAUGGGAAGAAUUAAGAGUAGACACCUACAGCUCAGAGAUUUCAACAAUGUGAAUUUUCCUGAUGGUUGAUGUCUAUGGUACUCCUUCCCUUCCCUUCCCUUCCCUUCCCUUCCCUUCCCUUCCCUUCCCUUCCCUUCCCUUCCCUUCCCUUCCCUUCCCUUCCCUUCCCUUCCUUUCCCUUUUUCCCUUCCCUUCUUCCCUUCCCUUCCUUUCCUUUCCUUUGCUUUCCUAAAGGAGAAAUUGAAGUGUGGUCUGACUCUCAGAGUAUAUGCAAAGGUAUUUGAAGAUACUGUAGAAGGAGACUGAAGAUUUGAAGCAAGCAGAAUCCUGACAAAGACAGGAAAGUCCUGCUGGCCUGGGAUUAUGGCAGAGCUGAAGGAAGCUGAGAAGGUCCUUUGCUUACUCAGGAAAUGCUCAGUGUCAGUCCAUUUGAGUUAAAUAAAACAUUCCAAGGAAAUAAAUAACAAGAAUAUAAAGGAAGGUGACCUUAGAAAUAGACCCCAGGAGUCAUGGGCUUCAAAGUUUAUAGAGCUGUGUUAGCUAAGCAGGUGAGGUGAGUGAAGGACAUGGUAGAGUCAAUAUGAGAACACCCCAGGGAAUAGCAGUGGGAUGAGAAGCCUGCAUCCUGGCAAAAGGAUAUGUUAGGAAAUUUUACAAGGUGCUUCACAUGCAAACUUUUGUCAAGUUUUGUGGUAGGAAGAACAGAUUAUUGACAGAAUGGUCCCAGAUGCCAAUAAGAAAGAUGGAUCAAUUAUCCUCUCAUGCCUGAGCAAAUGGACCAGAUUGGACUUCUGUAAGAAUUUAAUACAGAAUGGCAUAUGGCUAAGGCAGAGUAGAAAGAAGGCUGCUGCUGUUGUUGUAUUGUUUCUAUUAUUCCUCAAAAUAGACAGUAAAGAGGAGGAAGAGUUGGUUCAAGGUAGAAAAACAUUGGCAAGUGGAGACAUUCAAAAGUUCAUAUGUAAAUAGGCUGCCUUGGGAAUGACACACACAACAGUAAUCUGCUCUAGGGUGUCUCUCAUGAGAGUAAAGAGGAGAAUUUUGAUGUUAGUGAUGUAAGAUAGAUAAACAAGGUAAAGAAUGAUUUGAGACAUUUGUUGAAUAUUGUGACCAUGCAAAAUAUCUUUUCUUUUAAGUUAGGAGAUUACACCAUAGAUAUACAUACAUAGAUACACAUGCAGCUUUGUUUUGCUGUCCCCAAUAUAGCAGGGCUCCUAAUAACUCCACAAUGAUUAGUUACUUGUCCUCGCUUCCCCAAGUGACAUAAUUCAUGCCCUACUCCCUGUACUUAUACUUGAGGAAAGAACAAAGCACAUUUGACAACGUGUAAUGCACUCAACUCACUGUCUCCUUUAACUUUAAUAUGACAUUAAAUAUGUCAUUUCCUACAGAUGCUAAAUGUGACUUUUUUCUCUCAAGCAAUACCAAUAAAAAUUUUAGAGUAGAAAAAUAUAGUAGGUAUUUAUUUUCUUCCAUAUUUCAUGCCCAAGGCAACAGACAUGAUAAUCCUAAAUGUUGUCUUGCUGGUGCAUGGAAAAUCACAGAAAUUCCACAUUAAGCCUAUAGCAAUGACCAUAACAAAAGUCUACAAAAUAUGUGACAUGAAACUUGUCCAUUAAUAAAUUAUUUGUAAUUUAUAUUUACCCUUAAAUAAUAUUUACACUUAAAUUAUCAACAUAGCACAGUAGAAAUAUACCUCUAGCUGUCUGCAUACCUGCAUGAACAUCAACUGAUCAAAGCAGAAACGUCCUUCAUGUUCUAAAUCUUGUUGAAUUAGAACCAUUUAGCAUCAGAACAGUUUCCCUGGCUGUGAGUAUAGGAGGUUUUCGUUGGUUUCCCCUGGGUCAUUAGCACUCAUGAUUUGCAUAGUUUCCCCAGCACAGAAGAGACAUGUCAUUCCUAACACAGUGAAUGGUGUUGGCUUGAGGGCUGGAGAUACAGAUAGAUAUUCUAGUCAUGAUAAUUCCU